RNAcentral lists this ribosomal RNA (395 nucleotides) under uncultured bacterium. RNAcentral describes it as "bacterial SSU rRNA". It matches the Rfam family "Bacterial small subunit ribosomal RNA", at positions 505 to 898 of the family's 1533-position model. The record is from RNAcentral.
GUGCCAGCCGCCGCGGUAAUACAGAGGGGGCAAGCGUUGUUCGGAAUUACUGGGCGUAAAGGGCGCGUAGGCGGCCAACUAAGUCGGACGUGAAAUCCCCUGGCUCAACCAGGGAACUGCGUCCGAUACUGGAUGGCUUGAAUCCGGGAGAGGGAUGUGGAAUUCCAGGUGUAGCGGUGAAAUGCGUAGAUAUCUGGAGGAACACCGGUGGCGAAGGCGGCAUCCUGGACCGGUAUUGACGCUGAUGCGCGAAAGCCAGGGGAGCAAACGGGAUUAGAUACCCCGGUAGUCCUGGCCCUAAACGAUGAAUGCUUGGUGUGGUGGGUAUCGAUCCCCGCCGUGCCGAAGCUAACGCAUUAAGCAUUCCGCCUGGGGAGUACGGUCGCAAGGCUGAA